Molecule: long non-coding RNA, 238 nt
Organism: Sphaeramia orbicularis (orbiculate cardinalfish)
Lineage: Eukaryota; Metazoa; Chordata; Actinopteri; Kurtiformes; Apogonidae
Exons: 3
Source: RefSeq, a predicted model, not a curated record
CUUCCUACAAGUGGCUUGGCUAUGUAUGCAAAGAUGAGAUUGUGUUCAGUGACGCUGAAGCCAGUGCAAGCGAAUCUGAUGACUGCAGCACGGCAGUCACAGCAACAGAAUGUGGAACUGUGGAGCCUAUGGAUACUGACGCUACAAUCAAAGAGCAAGUUCAUGACAUGGAAGAUUUUGCAGGGUCUGUAUUGUCAGUGUCAUCUACAGUAACUGAGACUGCUCCUCCCUCUGAAGG